Cololabis saira (Pacific saury) is the source of this 230-nucleotide long non-coding RNA. RefSeq lists it as uncharacterized. The record is from RefSeq and is a predicted model, not a curated record. NCBI's taxonomy places the organism in Eukaryota, Metazoa, Chordata, Actinopteri, Beloniformes, Belonidae. The transcript has 3 exons.
GCUGAAGAAAUCCACGCCCACGAUUCGCCGUCAUCCCUCCUUCAGGACCGUCAGGGUGGAGCCUGCUGGACAACGAUGGCUGACACCAGGUCUGAGGAAGUAUUCCUGUCGACUCACCGUCGACACAAACACAGUCCACAACGACAUCAAACUGUCUGAUGACAACAGGAAGAUGAUGUAUGUGGGGGAGGAUCAGUCGUAUCCUGAUCAUCCAGACAGGUUUGAUCUCU